Molecule: ribosomal RNA, 310 nt
Filed under: uncultured eukaryote
Lineage: Eukaryota
Description: partial 18S ribosomal RNA
Rfam family: Eukaryotic small subunit ribosomal RNA
Source: RNAcentral
CCCUUAGAUGUUCUGGGCGGCCCGCGCACUACAAUGGCGCUUUCAGCGAGUUCCUAUGUUGAAUUUUCCUGGGUAUUCUUGGAAGCGGCGUCUUGACUUGGGAUAGAUCCUUGUAAUUGUUGGUUUUGAACGAGGAAUUCCUUGUAAUCGCGGUUGAUCAGCUCGCGUUGAAUACGUCCCUGCCCUUUGUACACACCGCCCGUCGCUCCUACCGAUGAAUCGUCCGGUGAAGUUCACAGAGUGGCGGUUCGUGGAGUUGCUCGCGAAGUGAAAUAGACCUCACGAUUUAGAGGAAGGAGAAGUCGUAACA